ACCGUUGGUCCCAAGGUGUGAGCUUGUUGGCUCCUCCACAAGCAAUCCUUACCAUAACCCUCCUGUCAGUAAGCCCCUAAUUCCAACACCCAGUCCUCAAAAUCAAAUAACAGCCUUACUGACGGCGUACAACCUGCUGUUAUUGAACAUGUAACGAGCCAUUUGAUUCUUCUAAAAGUACCCGUUACAGAAAACCAAAUGUGUUUGAUUACAGCGGUUUGAGUAGGGUUCUCAAAUAAAAUGCAUUUACCUGCGCGGAAUGGUUGCCAACAUGGACGAUUGACAGAAUCGUCAAUUGUCGGCUUUCUCCGUUUUUCUACCUACGGGUGAAAUAAUGAUCAAUAAUUCAAGGUAGUGAUCGUUCUCAAUCGAUCAGCAUCCAUCGAAGAAAACACUUGUGCAUGUGGUACGCUUGGUUUGUGGGUCAACCACGAGGUGAAAUUAAUUUUCAUUUGGUUUGUUCUCUUGUAGAUAAUUAAGUAGAAGAAAAAGUUAACGUAGACCAGUUUCAAGUGUGGUGAUUUAUAUAAUUAGUUUGAAUUAUACUAGAAGGCCAAAGUAGCACUGAAAACUGUAAACCCAGUAAAACUGUAAGCAAAUAAGAAAAGGUAAAGUAUUGUUAUACAUGUGAAACGGGGUACGAGACGUCGAAGGUGGACUAACUUUCGGAAAUAGGUCCAUUUCGGGGCCUUUUCUUUUAUGCCGUGGAUUGUGCCAAUCCGGCGGCCAUCUUUCAUUCCCAGUGAUCAGCCGGAAGAACAAUAGGAACACGGACGAAGCUUUCCGCCAUUUUGGAAGCCACUACCCGCCCUGCGAUCUAUUUUGGCGUUAUCCAACAACCCGUCAGUCCUGUGGUCCAAUCCAGCAUCCGCUGGCCCGGUGAUCGCUCCGGCAACCCGCCAGUUUUGUGGCCAACCCGACCACCCGUCGGCCCUGUGGGUCCAUCCGGCAACCCGCCGGCCCUGCCAUCCAAAACCGACCACCCGUCGGCCCUGUGGGUCCAUCCGGCAACCCGCCGGCCCUAACCUCUAUACCGACAGUCCGUCGGCCCUGUGGGUCCAUCCGGCAACCCGCCGGCCCUGCCAGCCAAGACCGACCACCCGUCGGCCCUGUGGGUCCAUCCGGCAACCCGCCGGCCCUAACAUCUCUACCGACAGUCCGUCGGCCCUGUGGGUCCAUCCGACAACCCGCCGGCCCUGAAGGGAUCCCUCACCACCGCCCCGAAAGCAGAAAAGCGUAUGUACACCCUAUAUAAUGCGUCUCUAUAAGAAUUAAGCUCUCGCCAGAGCGAAUAAAAUGAAUAGCAUGUAAAAUCUCAGAUAGGCAGUUAAAAUUAU
Long non-coding RNA from Aedes albopictus (Asian tiger mosquito), 1337 nucleotides. RefSeq lists it as uncharacterized. The transcript has 3 exons. The record is from RefSeq and is a predicted model, not a curated record. Lineage: Eukaryota; Metazoa; Arthropoda; Insecta; Diptera; Culicidae.